Physeter macrocephalus (sperm whale) is the source of this 2925-nucleotide long non-coding RNA. RefSeq lists it as uncharacterized. The record is from RefSeq and is a predicted model, not a curated record. The transcript has 3 exons. NCBI's taxonomy places the organism in Eukaryota, Metazoa, Chordata, Mammalia, Artiodactyla, Physeteridae.
CUCAGUUUCCUCAUUGGUGAAAUGUGAUCAUGAGGGUGACUUCCAAUUGGAUUGGUGUGAAGGUUAAAGGAGAUAAUAGGGAAGUGCUUAGGAGAGGGGCCCGCCGUGGUGGUGUCCAUGUGCGUGUCACACCCACUCUGUGCAGUGAUCCUGCGCAGAGAAGGUGACCUCCCAGACCUGCUCCACCCUUGCAGUCACCCUGCCAGGCAGUGCUUCACACCUCACUUCACAGAUGGGAGACUCGCAGGGUGGGUUUGGAGGUCGCCCAGAGUCUCACAGCUGGUGAGGGGUGGUGUCGGGACUGGAACCCAGGCCAGGCUGACUCAGACGGCCCUGGAGUCCCCCCGUGGACAGGGCAGGCUGUGACUCUGCAGGAACGUGGGCAGGCGUGUAGGCCUCUCCACAGCCUGGCAGCCCUGGCACAAGCCUACUUCAGCUCCAGUCCCGGCUUCACUAGGAGGAGCUCAGAAAAGGACGGUUGCAUGAAUGAGCAGAGCCCUGGCCCAGGGCCCCUUCCAGAGCCAGGGCCAGCCCUCUUGGCAUUCUUCCAACAAUGCUGAGUCCUGAGCGUAUGAGGACCCACUCUGCAUGUGGCCCUGGACUAAAUGCUCUCUGUCCAUCAUCUCAGUACCGUGAAGCAGGUAUGAUUGGGCAUCACGUUGCAUUGAGUUGUCCUGUGUUCUCAGUCUCCUCAAGUCUGUCUUCUUAGUCUUUCUUGUGUUUCACAACCUUGGCAGUUUUGAAAAGUACUGGUCAGGUAUUUGUAGAAUGUGUGAUGCAUUUUUUAAGGAUUAUUUUAAAAGAUGUUUAUUAAAUAAAAAAUAAUAAUGAAGAAAGAGAGAGGAACAAAGAGAAAAAGAGAUGUGAAAAGAAAGAGAAAGGAAGGAAGGAGAGAAGGAAGAGAGGGUGAGAAUAAGUGAAAGAAGAGAAAAAGGAAUGAAAGACUGAGGUUUCUGUCAAAAGAAAACUUUGCUUGAGGCAACAGUGGAGAUGUCCUUUAAGAAAGCUAGGAUGACGCCAGCCUGACUCAACAGCUCUUUUUUCUGGGCUGGUCUGAACUGGUCUGAACAAUUAAGAAUUGUGUCUGUGAGGUGACAAAGAGGGCUCCUUGCAACUCCAGCUUUUAUGGUUCCUGGUGCCCACAAUCUCAAAAGCAGAGAAGGCCACUUUUCUGAUGGUUUUAGCUAAAAUCCUGGGGAUGGCUCUUAUUGGCUGGGCUUGGGUCACAUGCCCAGCCCUGAACCAAUGACUAUGGCCAUGGAGAUAUGAAUUCUCAUUGGCCAGCCAGGGAUAUGCCUGCCCCUAACUGCUAAUGGAGGAGGCUGCUCUCAGCCGCUGCAGAGUUAGCAGAAAUACAGGAGACCAGGCUCCUUCCAGCCCUUCUCUCCUGACUCACCCCCUGCUUCUUUCUUCUAUGCAUCCUGCGGUCCAGCUAAGUUGCACCACUGGUCCAUGAUUUCCUGCCUCUUGGUCUUUUGCUCAGCCUUGCCCCUGCCAGGGUUGCUCUCCUUGCUCUCUGCAUAACCAAUAAUUAGCCACCCUUGAAGUCCCAGCUCAAAUGCUGCUGGCUGGGCAGAUGUCUUUGAGUUAUAGCUUUGGGUGAUUAUGUUUCAACUCUUGACCCAAGCUGAAAGCUUUAUGAAGGUGGAGGGCAUCCAGCUCAUCCAGAAAUUUUCUGAGGAAGGAAAAACAGCACCUUUCUGAGGCCAGAGAAGAGCUAUGGCCUCUUCAGGGCACUCAGCCAGUCUCUGGCAGAAAGAUAUCGUGCACAUUUCCAAGGAAGGGGUGCUCUGUAGGAGAUGCCAGUCCCUGACUCCCUUGGACUUGGGUGAGAAUCUCAGCCCUGCCGCUCCUCAGCCGGGCCAGCAGUUAUUUUUCCCCUCUCUGUGCCUCACUUUGCUCUUCUGUAAAAUGGUGAUAACAAGAGUGCCUACGUAUCUCACAGGGCAGUGGUGACUGUUUACUGAAAUAAUGCAUGUAAGAUAUUUCAGUCCGUGUAGAUUCAAGAAAACAAUUUAAAAUGGUCUGUUGGGGCUUCCCUGGUGGCGCAGUGGUUGAGAGUCCGCCUACCGAUGCAGGGGACAUGAGUUCAUGCCCCGGUCCGGGAAGAUCCCACAUGCCGCGGAACAGCUAAUCCUGUGCGCCACAACUACUGAGCCUGUGCUCUAGAGCCCACGUAGCACAACUACUGAGCCCGCGUGCCACAACUACUGAAGCCCGCGCACCUAGACCCCGUGCUCCGCAGCAAGAGAAGCCACCACAAUGAGAAGCCCACGCACUGCAACCCAGAGUAGCCCCUGCUUGCCUCAACUAGAGAAAGCCCAAGCUCAGCAAUGAAGACCCAACGCAGCACGCCCCCGCCCCCCAAAAAAUGGCCUGUCUUGGACUUCCCUGGCCGUCCAGUGGUUAAGACUCUGUGCUUCCAAUGCAGGGGGUGCAGGUUCGAUCCCUGGUUAGGGAGCUAGGAUCCCACAUACUGCAGAGCGUGGCAAAAAAAAAAAAAAAAAAAAAAAAAAGCCUGUCUUGUUUGCAGUGUUCGCCACUAUAGGGGAAAAAGCCUGAAGAGUAAUGGCCAAUAAAAACUACAAAUGUUGGGUCAUAGAUUGAAAACUAUAUAUUAAGCUGAUGCUGUUUUUUAUUGUUACACUUCACGCCCUUGGGAGGAAAUCUGAGGAAGGUCCUAGAAACUUGUUUUUGAGGCAUGAUGAGAGGUUUGGAAGAAAGGUGUUAUGCAAAUCUCAACAGAAUUAUCAGUAAAUACUGCAAAUAUAAAAGCCUGGAGGGACUUCCCUGGUGGUCCAGUGGUUAAGACUCCACGCUUCCAACGCAGGGGACGCAGGUUCGAUUCCUGGUCGGGGAACUAAGAUCCCACAUGCCACGUGUGGCAUAGCCAAAAAAAAAAAAAAAAAAAAAGCCUGGAGCCAU